UCGAAAGGAGGAUUAAUACCGCAUAAGAUUGUAGUAUCGCAUGAUAUAGCAAUUAAAAGGAGCAAUUCGCUAUAAGAUGGACCCGCGUCGCAUUAGCUAGUUGGUGAGGUAAUGGCNCACCAAGGCGACGAUGCGUAGCCGACCUGAGAGGGUGAUCGGCCACAUUGGGGACUGAGACACGGCCCAGACUCCUACGGGAGGCAGCAUG
This 208-nucleotide ribosomal RNA is filed under the name uncultured bacterium. RNAcentral describes it as "partial 16S ribosomal RNA". It matches the Rfam family "Bacterial small subunit ribosomal RNA", at positions 151 to 353 of the family's 1533-position model. The record is from RNAcentral.